Molecule: unclassified non-coding RNA, 1300 nt
Filed under: Bombus terrestris (buff-tailed bumblebee)
Lineage: Eukaryota; Metazoa; Arthropoda; Insecta; Hymenoptera; Apidae
Description: misc RNA ENSBTSG00005031247.1
Source: RNAcentral
AGAAGUUUUAAUGGAGUUUGAGAUAGGGCGACGAGGUUGAAACUAGGAUGAUGUUGCGCAAUAAGGGAAAAUAUUGAAGAAGUAUCGCGAGCCAAUUUUCAUUUUGAACCUCUACGGUGAAUUUGGUAUCUUUUGAAGAAAUUUUUCAGAAAUCUAAAUUCUACGAAUGUAGGUUUAUUUAUCAGUGAAAACGAUAGGAGGAACAAUUACCAUAUCAUCAACGGUAUUGUCGCAACGCUAGCGGUGCACGAGCGGUCAAUUGGUGUAAUUGACGCGCGGAAAGUAACGUUGAAGUAUUUUGAAGUUCACGCUGACUGCAUCAACGAUCGUUCUAACUUUUGUAACGUCUAUCUCGUAGCACGACAAAGGAGGCAGCACCAGCUGGACCUCCAAUUAAAAGCUCCCCUCGUUCGUUUCGAACAAGUCCACACUAUCGUAAAACUAGAGUGUGCACAUGUACGAUGAUGAUGAGCCAGCAAAAAAUUUCUACAGUAGCAGGCAAUGUAGAACAGUUAGAGAUACAACGUCGUACGUGCAUGUAAAACCUUCGCCGAGCUAAUCCUCAAACGCAAUUUGAACAAAACAAUGCAACUGUUUCUUUAGUGUAAUUCGAUUCCAUUCAAUGUAAAUACAUCACUACACCCAACUGUCUAUCGUGAAAGUGUAAUGAAAGUGAUAAAUAUAGCAGAAAUAAGUUCUAUCUGUGACAAUUGCUUGUAAGAUGUACGAUGAGACACGUGAUAAAAAUAAAAAAAUUAAAUUAAUGCGAGAAACGUGCCAAUUUUGUAAUAGUUGGUAAAAUCGAAUAAACUUUCGUAAACUUUUCAAUUAAAAAAAACAUCGGUAAAAUGUAGUAUGAUUUAGUAUAUUCCUUUUACUUUGCUUCAAACAAAUUAUUCGUUAAUUUAUUAUUUUCCUUUCUAUACUUAAUAUUAUAAUUGGUCAACAUAUUCGUGGAUAAUUAAUCCCUGAAGGGAACCAUACAUACGAUACGCGUGCAUGUGUAUGUACAUGUUGUUUUAUUCAAACAUGAUUCCAAAGAUAUAUAAUAACCACGUAUGUACAAUAACGUACAACAUUUUUCUCAGAUAAUUAAAAAUAUCUUCCAAUAUCGAUCCAACUCAUCAAAUAUCUGUAAAUAUGAUUCAAGUAAAUAUUAUCUAAUUUAAAUAAAUUCACCCUCAAUGAGGUUAAACUUUAUAUGAAACCAGGUAUAUCAAACAACGUAAAGCGAGGCUUUUUCCACACAAAUAAUCGAUACAAAAAGGAAAACUCUUCAAUCAAAAUAACCAAUCAGCUU